UGUGUGUGUGUGAGUGGAUAUAUGAGUGUUGUGUGUGUGUGUGUAUGUGUACAUGAGUGUGUGUAGGUGUGGGUGUGUCUAUGUGUAUCUGAGUGUGCGUAUGUGUGUGUGUGAUUGAGUGUGUGUGUGUAUGUGUAUAUGCGUGUGUGUGUCUCUACUCCAGUUGGCAGAGGGACACUGAGGAGUCACACACUCUAAAUCCAGUACAGAGGAUUGUGUGUUGAGUGAAGUGUGUGUGUGCGUGUGUGUGGAUGUGUGUGUAGGUGUGGGUGUGUGUGUGUCUAUGUGUAUCUGAGUGUGUGUGUGUGUGUGUGUGUGUGUGUGUAUGUGUACAUGAGUGUGUGUAGGUGUGAGUGUGUGU
Long non-coding RNA from Anguilla rostrata (American eel), 361 nucleotides. RefSeq lists it as uncharacterized. The record is from RefSeq and is a predicted model, not a curated record. The transcript has 4 exons. Lineage: Eukaryota; Metazoa; Chordata; Actinopteri; Anguilliformes; Anguillidae.